CAGUCGCCACGGUAACACGGAGGGUGCAAGCGUUAAUCGGAAUUACUGGGCGUAAAGCGCACGCAGGCGGUCUGACAAGUCAGAUGUGAAAUCCCCGGGCUUAACCUGGGAACUGCAUAUGAAACUGUCAGGCUGGAGUCUUGUAGAGGGGGGUGGAAUUCCAGGUGUAGCGGUGAAAUGCGUAGAGAUCUGGAGGAAUACCGGUGGCGAAGGCGGCCCCCUGGACAAAGACUGACGCUCAGGUGCGAAAGCGUGGGGAGCAAACAGGAUUAGAUACCCCGGUAGUCCCUGUCUCUUAUAC
RNAcentral lists this ribosomal RNA (301 nucleotides) under uncultured bacterium. RNAcentral describes it as "partial 16S ribosomal RNA". It matches the Rfam family "Bacterial small subunit ribosomal RNA", at positions 509 to 807 of the family's 1533-position model. The record is from RNAcentral.